This 253-nucleotide ribosomal RNA is filed under the name uncultured bacterium. Its description in RNAcentral is "partial 16S ribosomal RNA". It matches the Rfam family "Bacterial small subunit ribosomal RNA", at positions 524 to 776 of the family's 1533-position model. The record is from RNAcentral.
UACGGGGGGGGCAAGCGUUGUUCGGAAUUACUGGGCGUAAAGGGCUUGUAGGUGGCCAACUAAGUCAGACGUGAAAUCCCUCGGCUUAACCGGGGAACUGCGUCUGAUACUGGAUGGCUUGAGUGUGGGAGAGGGAUGCGGAAUUCCAGGUGUAGCGGUGAAAUGCGUAGAUAUCUGGAGGAACACCGGUGGCGAAGGCGGCAUCCUGGACCGACACUGACACUGAGGAGCGAAAGCCAGGGGAGCAAACGGG